RNAcentral lists this non-coding RNA (30 nucleotides) under Mus musculus (house mouse). The record is from RNAcentral. Lineage: Eukaryota; Metazoa; Chordata; Mammalia; Rodentia; Muridae.
UGCGCAGAUUAUUUGUUUACCACUUAGAAC